CUGUUUCAUGAUUGUCCAAACGCAAUACAGGUGUUACAAUAAAUUCUGUGUUUUCGUAUGGACAUCGUAAUACAG
Molecule: non-coding RNA, 75 nt
Organism: Ciona savignyi (Pacific transparent sea squirt)
Lineage: Eukaryota; Metazoa; Chordata; Ascidiacea; Phlebobranchia; Cionidae
Source: Rfam